Molecule: ribosomal RNA, 497 nt
Filed under: uncultured bacterium
Lineage: Bacteria
Description: partial 16S ribosomal RNA
Rfam family: Bacterial small subunit ribosomal RNA
Source: RNAcentral
GAUGAACGCUGGCGGCGUGCCUAAUACAUGCAAGUCGAGCGAACAGAUGAGGAGCUUGCUCCUCUGACGUUAGCGGCGGACGGGUGAGUAACACGUGGAUAACCUACCUAUAAGACUGGGAUAACUUCGGGAAACCGGAGCUAAUACCGGAUAAUAUAUUGAACCGCAUGGUUCAAUAGUGAAAGACGGUUUUGCUGUAACUUUAAAAUGGAUCCGCGCCGCAUUAGCUAGUUGGUAAGGUAACGGCUUACCAAGGCAACGAUGCGUAGCCGACCUGAGAGGGUGAUCGGCCACACUGGAACUGAGACACGGUCCAGACUCCUACGGGAGGCAGCAGUAGGGAAUCUUCCGCAAUGGGCGAAAGCCUGACGGAGCAACGCCGCGUGAGUGAUGAAGGUCUUCGGAUCGUAAAACUCUGUUAUUAGGGAAGAACAAAUGUGUAAGUAACUAUGCACGUCUUGACGGUACCUAAUCAGAAAGCCACGGCUAACUACGUG